UUUUUUUUUCUUUUUUUGUAUAGGAUGGAGGCUUUAAAAACCUGCCAGCCCCUCCAUUCUCCCUUCACCCACCCAUAACUGCCAAUAUAAUAAAUUCUUUGCUCAACUCCAUGUUUCUGAGAGUUAAAGGAGAAAGAAUCAAUUCUUGGGGAUAAAAAGAUCAAACUUUGAAUCCAAAACCUACAAUACAACUCCAGGAAAUAGAGCUGCAUACCUUCUAAAUAGCAAUAGCAAUUAUAAAAACAGAGUAAUAGGGCCGCCUGAGUGGCUCACUCGCUUAAGCAUCUGCCUUCAGCUGAGAUCAUGAUCCCAAUUCCUGGGACUAAGUACCACCAGAGUUGGGCUCCUUGCUCAGGGGGAGCCUGCUUCUCCCUCUGUCUGCUGUUCCCCUUGCUUGUGCUCUCUGUCUCUCUCUCUGACAAACAAACAAAUAAAUAAAAAAAAAGAAUAAAAAAAAACAGAAUAAUGGCUAAUAAUCAUUGAGAUUGUACAUACUAUGCAUCAAGCAAUAUAAUUUGCCAGUAAUGAAAAAAAAAAAAAUUUGCCAGUAAUGAAAGACACCUCAGGUGAUUUUCAAAAUAACUUCCUGAAGUAGAUACUAUUGUCAUACUCAUUUUGCGGAUGGAGGAACGAAGUCUCACAGCAAAAUAAUGUAUGCAAAAUGGCAAUGCUGUAAGUGACAAAGAUUUGAAGUCAAAGGACCUGAGAAAUAAACUUAGAGCUUCAAUGGCCAAGCUACAAAGCUCUCAAUCUGAAGGCCAAAGGUCAUCUUUAAUAUUUAAAAAAUCUAAAUGAAACAACCAUUCACCUACAAGUUAACUUAAAAUUGUAGGGGUGCUUUUGCCUUUAGUUGAACUUAUGUCAAUUCAGUAUGGGUAGCAUAUGCUGUUAUAAUUACAAUUCUUGGUUAAAAAUGGGGAAGCAAAUUAUAAUAAUGCCUUGAGGAAAAAUAUUUUUGUAAUAUGGAAUUCACAGUGGAAAAACAAUUUGAUCCUCUGUGUGAAAAUCUGGGGAGACAAUGGACAAAUGAUCUCAAUGACAUGUGAUGGAUCUAGCAAUAUCCGAUUCUCUGCCAAAUAAAUGCUCUACUCCAGAAAUAUGUCUGCUCCACCCUCACUCUGAUCCCUCCCUCCUUCCCUCCAAAUCUCACACUCAUCACCCACCAGCUGCUUUCUAUUAUCACCAGCAGGCCUAGGAAACUCUGAGAUUAGCUCUCAGUAGGAUGAGCUGACUACAGGCAGCUGACAUUGACUCAACAUUCUUUUCUGUGAAUCCUAGGCAAUUCUCUCUCUCAUUUACCUGGUUUCUUUCUCUCUUUUUUUUUUUUUCCUGAUUCUCCUGGUUACUUGCUGACUGACUUAUUAACCUUUUGUUCAAACACUUCCUGGUGGUUGCUUAGUGCAGGUCCCUGAAUCUGCAUCCCAGCCCCGCUCUCUGGGAUCUGGAGCAUUCUGACUCCACCAGUAUGCACAUGUUUGUGUCUCACAAGUGCCCUGUUUUCCCCAUUCUGCUUCCUUGUUAGUUCCACUUGAGCUGCUAUAAGCCACACCCUACCAAAUGAUCACUAUAUUAUAGCUGAUUUGGGGUUGGGGCACAGUCCACAAAAUGCUAUGGGCAGCCUGUGAACAAGAAGUAUAGUUAUCACAGCCAGUGUAUAAAAUAAUGACCUCUGUGCUGUAUGGCUAGUUGCCCACUCAAAAUCCUAAAGGAUAUUAUACAGCUAACCUCACAACCUCCCCAACUCCAACUCCCUGAAUAAAAUAACUUACGACUCAUUUCCUUGGAAUCUUCUUAAGUUAUUUUUAUUUGCUAUAUUAUGACAUUAUCAAAUCAUCAAUAACUCUUAACUCUUUCUUAUUCCCCAUUUUACUGGCUUUGGGUACAUUUGCUUAUUCUUCAAGAUAUCCCUAGCCCUAUGAGUUUUAAAACCUUGACUAGUUUGAAUAGUCUCAUAGCACUUAGUGUGGUCUCAAAUGUUCAUUCAUUAAGACUUAAUGUAGUCCAGAGGCAACUGGGUGGCUCAGUUGGUUAAGCGUAUGCCUUUGGCUCAGGGUAUGAUCCCAGGAUC
This 2068-nucleotide long non-coding RNA is filed under the name Canis lupus familiaris (dog). RNAcentral's name for it is "lncRNA (ENSCAFG00845000813.1)". The record is from RNAcentral. Lineage: Eukaryota; Metazoa; Chordata; Mammalia; Carnivora; Canidae.